GAAUAUGAGAGUGAGCUAGUAUGUAUGACCUCUGUCACCCCACUGCUCACUAGGGCUGAUCUGGCUGGCUAGGUGGGUGUGUCCCCUUCCUCCUUCACUGCUCCACAUGUCCCUCCCGAAGCUGUGCACUCUGUCCAAAAGGACAACCUUUCCAGAUAGGGGAGCACUGUUCUUCCCUCAAGGGUAAAUGAGAAGCUGUGCUCACCUGCCUGAACCUCCAAACAAGCUCUCAAGAUAACCAAACGAUAAAGAAGCGUUUCCUUUAGAGAACAUUUCCAGUGAAUAAUGCAGAAGGAAGAAAUGAUAUU
Spermophilus dauricus (Daurian ground squirrel) is the source of this 308-nucleotide unclassified non-coding RNA. Its record names the gene 7SK. It matches the Rfam family "7SK RNA". Rfam says of the family: 7SK was discovered as an abundant small nuclear RNA in the mid-70s but a possible function has only recently been suggested. Two independent studies have found that 7SK RNA binds the CDK9/cyclin T complex (known as elongation factor P-TEFb). Lineage: Eukaryota; Metazoa; Chordata; Mammalia; Rodentia; Sciuridae. The record is from Ensembl.